Molecule: ribosomal RNA, 619 nt
Filed under: uncultured bacterium
Lineage: Bacteria
Description: bacterial SSU rRNA
Rfam family: Bacterial small subunit ribosomal RNA
Source: RNAcentral
UGUCGAGCGGGCGUAGCAAUACGUCAGCGGCAGACGGGAGAGUAACACGUGGGAACGCGCUUUCGGUUCGGAAUAACUCAGGGAAACUUGAGCUAAUACCGGAUACGCCCUAACGGGGAAAGAUUUAUUGCCGAAGGAACGGCCCGCGUCGGAUUAGCUAGUUGGUGAGGUAAUGGCUCACCAAGGCGACGAUCCGUAGCUGGUCUGAGAGGAUGACCAGCCUCACUGGGACUGAGACACGGCCCAGACUCCUACGGGAGGCAGCAGUGGGGAAUAUUGGACAAUGGGCGCAAGCCUGAUCCAGCCAUGCCGCGUGGAUGAUGAAGGCCUUAGGGUUGUAAAGUCCUUUUAACGGGGAAGAUAAUGACGGUACCCGUAGAAUAAGCCCCGGCUAACUUCGCGCCAGCAGCCGCGGUAAUACGAAGGGGGCUAGCGUUGCUCGGAAUUACUGGGCGUAAAGCGCACGUAGGCGGCUUGUUAAGUCAGGGGUGAAAGCCUGGAGCUCAACUCCAGAACUGCCUUUGAUACUGACGAGCUUGAGUUCGGGAGAGGUGAGUGGAACUGCGAGUGUAGAGGUGAAAUUCGUAGAUAUUCGCAAGAACACCAGUGGCGAAGGCGG